GUGAGGAAUAUUGGUCAAUGGACGAGAGUCUGAACCAGCCAAGUCGCGUGAAGGAAGACGGUUCUAUGAAUUGUAAACUUCUUUUGUGCAGGAAUAAAGUGGGUUACGUGUAACCUUUUGUAUGUACUGUACGAAUAAGGAUCGGCUAACUCCGUGCCAGCAGCCGCGGUAAUACGGAGGAUCCGAGCGUUAUCCGGAUUUAUUGGGUUUAAAGGGUGCGUAGGUGGAUUGAUACGUCAGCGGUGAAAGUUUGCAGCUUAACGGUAAAAUUGCCGUUGAAACUGUCGGUCUUGAGUGCCAAUGAGGUAGGCGGAAUGUGUUGUGUAGCGGUGAAAUGCUUAGAUAUAACACAGAACUCCGAUUGCGAAGGCAGCUUACUGGGAUGCAACUGACACUGAUGCACGAAAGCGUGGGUAUCAAACAGGAUUAGAAACCCGGGUAGUCC
RNAcentral lists this ribosomal RNA (445 nucleotides) under uncultured bacterium. Its description in RNAcentral is "partial 16S ribosomal RNA". It matches the Rfam family "Bacterial small subunit ribosomal RNA", at positions 354 to 796 of the family's 1533-position model. The record is from RNAcentral.